RNAcentral lists this ribosomal RNA (492 nucleotides) under uncultured bacterium. RNAcentral describes it as "partial 16S ribosomal RNA". It matches the Rfam family "Bacterial small subunit ribosomal RNA", at positions 30 to 507 of the family's 1533-position model. The record is from RNAcentral.
AUUGAACGCUGGCGGCAUGCUUUACACAUGCAAGUCGAACGGUAACAGGCCUUCUGGUGCUGACGAGUGGCGAACGGGCGAGUAAUGCAUCGGAACGUACCCAGAGGUUGGGGAUAACGCAGCGAAAGCUGUGCUAAUACCGCAUGUGAUCUGAGGAUGAAAGCGGGGGACCGAGCAGCAAUGUUUGGCCUCGCGCCUUUGGAGCGGCCGAUGUCGGAUUAGCUAGUUGGUGGGGUAAAGGCCUACCAAGGCGACGAUCCGUAGCUGGUCUGAGAGGACGACCAGCCACACUGGGAGUGAGACACGGACCAGACUCCUACGGGAGGCAGCAGUGGGGAAUUUUGGACAAUGGGCGCAAGCCUGAUCCAGCAAUGCCGCGUGCGGGAAGAAGGCCUUCGGGUUGUAAACCGCUUUUGGCAGGAACGAAACGGUGUCCGCUAAUACCGGGCGCUAAUGACGGUACCUGCAGAAUAAGCACCGGCUAACUACGUG